Molecule: ribosomal RNA, 497 nt
Filed under: uncultured bacterium
Lineage: Bacteria
Description: partial 16S ribosomal RNA
Rfam family: Bacterial small subunit ribosomal RNA
Source: RNAcentral
GAUGAACGCUGGCGGCGUGCCUAAUACAUGCAAGUCGAACGAAAAAACGGGAACCUGGGUCCUCUGACGUAAGGGGGAGACGGGUGAGGAACACGUGGAUAACCAACUGGAAUGACUUGCAGAACUUCGGGAAACCGGAGGUAAGACCGAGGAACAUGUUGAGCGGCAUUUUUCAGCAAGGAAACACGGUUUUGCUUUCGCUUUGAGAUGAACCCGCGUCGCAUUAGCUAGUUGGUAAGGUAACGGCUUACCAAGGCAACGAUGCGUAGCUGACCUGAGAGGGUGAUCGGCCACACUGGAACUGAGACACGGUCAAGACUCCUACGGGAGGAAGCAGUAGGGAAUCUUCCGCAAUGGGCGAAAGCCUGACGGAGCAACGCCGCGUGAGUGAAGAAGGUCUCCGGAUCGUAAAACUCUGUUAUUAGGGAAAAACAAAUGUGUAAGUAACUAUGCACGUCUUGACGGUACCUAAUCAGAAAGCCACGGCUAACUCCGUG